Molecule: ribosomal RNA, 253 nt
Filed under: uncultured bacterium
Lineage: Bacteria
Description: partial 16S ribosomal RNA
Rfam family: Bacterial small subunit ribosomal RNA
Source: RNAcentral
UACGGAGGGAGCUAGCGUUAUUCGGAAUUACUGGGCGUAAAGCGCACGUAGGCGGCUUUGUAAGUUAGAGGUGAAAGCCUGGAGCUCAACUCCAGAAUUGCCUUUAAGACUGCAUCGCUUGAAUCCAGGAGAGGUGAGUGGAAUUCCGAGUGUAGAGGUGAAAUUCGUAGAUAUUCGGAAGAACACCCGUGGCGAAAGCGGCUCUCUAGAACGGUACUGACGCUGAGACGCGAAAGCGUGGGGAGCGAACAGG